RNAcentral lists this transfer RNA (89 nucleotides) under Clostridiales bacterium. RNAcentral's name for it is "tRNA-Ser". It matches the Rfam family "tRNA". Rfam says of the family: Transfer RNA (tRNA) molecules are approximately 80 nucleotides in length. Their secondary structure includes four short double-helical elements and three loops (D, anti-codon, and T loops). Lineage: Bacteria; Bacillati; Bacillota; Clostridia; Eubacteriales. The record is from RNAcentral.
GGAGGCGUACCAAAGCGGUCGUACUGGGGUGGUCUUGAAAACCAUUUGACGGCAACGUCACGGGAGUUCGAAUCUCUCCGCCUCCGCCA